UACGUAGGCAGCGAGCGUUGUUCGGAGUUACUGGGCGUAAAGGGUGUGUAGGCGGUUUUCUAAGUUUGGUGUGAAAUCUCCCGGCUUAACCGGGAGGGUGCGCCGAAAACUGGGAGACUAGAGUGCGGGAUGGGAGAGUAGAAUUCCUGGUGUAGCGGUGAAAUGCGUAGAUAUCAGGAGGAAUACCGGUGGUGCAGACGGCUCUCUGGACCGCAACUGACGCUGAGACACGAAAGCGUGGGUAGCAACAGG
RNAcentral lists this ribosomal RNA (252 nucleotides) under uncultured bacterium. RNAcentral describes it as "partial 16S ribosomal RNA". It matches the Rfam family "Bacterial small subunit ribosomal RNA", at positions 524 to 775 of the family's 1533-position model. The record is from RNAcentral.